CACGAACGCUGGCGGCAGGCUUAACACAUGCAAGUCGAACGCCCCGCCAGGGGGAUGGCCCACGGGAGCUUAACGCGGGGCUAUCUGCCUUCUGGUUCUGAAUAAACCUGGGAAACUGGGGUUACUUCGGGAAAGUUCCGCUGGGCCAAAGACAUAUCGUGAAACGAAGAGUCCACUUAUGAUAUGCUAGUUGGCGAGGUCAUGGCGCAGCAAGGGGGCGACCGUUAGCUGGUCAGAGAGGACGAUCAGCCACACUGGGAGUGAGACACGGCACAGACUCCUACGGGAGGCAGCAGUGGGGAAUGGAGGAACGUGGGGGGAGCGCUGAACCAGCCAGGCCGGGUGAGUGAUGAAAGCCUGGGGGUUGAAAAGCGCAUUUGGCGAGGACGAUGAUGACGGUACCCACACAGUAAGCCCCGGCUAACUUCGUG
RNAcentral lists this ribosomal RNA (431 nucleotides) under uncultured bacterium. RNAcentral's name for it is "partial 16S ribosomal RNA". It matches the Rfam family "Bacterial small subunit ribosomal RNA", at positions 29 to 507 of the family's 1533-position model. The record is from RNAcentral.